RNAcentral lists this ribosomal RNA (429 nucleotides) under uncultured soil bacterium. RNAcentral describes it as "bacterial SSU rRNA". It matches the Rfam family "Bacterial small subunit ribosomal RNA", at positions 26 to 456 of the family's 1533-position model. The record is from RNAcentral.
AGAUUGAACGCUGGCGGCAGGCCUAACACAUGCAAGUCGAGCGGUAGAGAGGUGCUUGCAUCUCUUGAGAGCGGCGGACGGGUGAGUAAUGCCUAGGAAUCUGCCUAGUGGUGGGGAUAACGUUCGGAAACGGACGCUAAUACCGCAUACGUCCUACGGGGAGAAAGCGGGGGACCUUCGGGCCUCGCGCCAUUAGAUGAGCCUAGGUCGGAUUAGCUAGUUGGUGAGGUAAUGGCUCACCAAGGCGACGAUCCGUAACUGGUCUGAGAGGAUGAUCAGCCACACUGGAACUGAGACACGGUCCAGACUCCUACGGGAGGCAGCAGUGGGGAAUAUUGGACAAGUGGGACGAAAGCCUGAUCCAGCCAUGCCGCGUGUGUGAAGAAGUCUUCGGAUUGAAAGCUACGUUAAGUGGAGAAGGUUGUAACC